UCGAAACAAAGUAGAGAUACUUGAAAGUGUUUCUAAG
Molecule: ribosomal RNA, 37 nt
Filed under: Gammarus sp. 2121a
Lineage: Eukaryota; Metazoa; Arthropoda; Malacostraca; Amphipoda; Gammaridae
Also listed under: 4 other names
Description: partial 12S ribosomal RNA
Source: RNAcentral